This 35-nucleotide non-coding RNA is filed under the name unclassified sequences. The record is from Rfam.
AAAGACCAAGCCGAAAAUCUUUAAUAGAGUAGGCA